UACUUCUGGAUAAAAGUUACA
This is a non-coding RNA of Caenorhabditis elegans, 21 nucleotides long. The record is from Ensembl. Lineage: Eukaryota; Metazoa; Nematoda; Chromadorea; Rhabditida; Rhabditidae.